CUUGUCUAACAUAAGAGGUCCAGCCUGCCCAGUGACAUUGUUCAACGGCCGCGGUAUCCUAACCGUGCGAAGGUAGCGUAAUCACUUGUUCUUUAAAUGAGGACUAGUAUGAAAGGCAUCACGAGAGUCAUACUGUCUCCUUUCUCUAAUCAGUGAAACUAAUCUCCCCGUGAAGAAGCGAGGAUAAAAAUAUAAGACGAGAAGACCCUAUGGAGCUUAAAACAAAUAACAUUUGCCUUUCUAACUUCAAAUUUCAGAAAAAUUUCUUAUCUUGGCAUUAUAAUUAUUAGUUUUUGGUUGGGGUGACCACGGAACAAAAAACAACUUCCGCAAUGAAAGACACUCCUUUACUAAGUCAAGGACUACAACCCUACACAUCAACAAAUUGACAUUAAUUGACCCAACAUGUUGAUCAAUGGAC
RNAcentral lists this ribosomal RNA (421 nucleotides) under Adenomera diptyx group sp. ABGD cluster 12. RNAcentral describes it as "partial large subunit ribosomal RNA". It matches the Rfam family "Bacterial large subunit ribosomal RNA", at positions 1822 to 2457 of the family's 2925-position model. The record is from RNAcentral. Lineage: Eukaryota; Metazoa; Chordata; Amphibia; Anura; Leptodactylidae.